This is a long non-coding RNA of Gallus gallus (chicken), 1895 nucleotides long. The record is from Ensembl. NCBI's taxonomy places the organism in Eukaryota, Metazoa, Chordata, Aves, Galliformes, Phasianidae.
AAAAAUAAUAGGCAGGGCUAUAAAUUAAAGAAAGAGAGAAAGAAAAAUGGGAUGAUAUAACGCAUCCUGCGGUAAUCAAUUUUACCUCCAAUAUCUGCUUUUUUUUUUUUUCAAAAUGCUAAAUAAACAAUACAUAAUGCAUCCCUCAUCAGCCAAAACCAUGAGGGCUCUGUGCUCAAAUAACAGGAAACAUAUUCAAUUUUCCUAACAGAAGACAGUUCAUUAAGCUGUGCCACAUCAAAUAAAACUUUAAUUUCUCCAGCAUCGGAGUCGCAAUGAAAGCAAUUGAGGAAGAUGAGCCAUAUGGUACUUCUAUCAGCAAACACAUAUUGCUCAUUCCCCCAAAGUUUUCUAAUUCUGCUCCCCAGACCUGUGUAAUAUAGAUAAUGUGCUCUGAGCGCAGCAACCAUGAGCUAUCUGGUGUACACUUCUAAUACUGUAUUUAAUGGGAAAUAAUGAAUCAUAAAAGCCUUGCAGAAGACGGCUUUUGCUAACCUAAAUCUCAGCUGUAAUUUCAUUGUUCUGUGCCUAAGAUGCCGCUUGCCCUUUUCAAACAACAGCGGUUGAACAUAAUUAUGCCGCUGCAAACCUGGGCUGCAAAAAGCGCGGCUCCUGGCCCCACCAACUUCCAUUAACUCCUGAAGCCCCGCGCCGGGGUGUCCGGGUGCGGCAGCCGGCUCCCAGGGGUCAGGGCAGCGCUCCGAACCUCUUCCUCUCCAAUCUGGCCCCAAAAUCGCCACAGGAGGAGGAUAUGAAAAAUUAGGAGAUCUGCUUGACAUCGGGAAAUCCGACACUUGUCUGCUCUAACAUCUCUAAGUACCAAAGCCGUACAGCGUAGUAAGAGGUGGAUUUUUUACGUGUAUAUAUAUAUUUUUUCCCCUAAAAGGGGAAGAAUCUGAAGUGGAUCAACCAGGCCCCAGAGGAAGCCGCACGGAAAAACACAAAUAAUAUCAAUAUCGCGCAGCCACGGGAAACAAUGGGGCAGCGCUCGGCGUGACAUGCACGCCGCUAUUGUUUCAAGAGCUGGGGAAUUAAUUCCACUUAUUUAUUUAAGGCGUGUCAACUCGCUGCCUAAACCUGUUUCGGUGUCAAGAUGAAUAAAACUUUUAUGGCUCAUAAAAUAGAGCCAUUCAUCUCAAUGUUCUUUGUGGUGCCUGUUGUUUUUUUUUUUUUUUCCUCUCCCCCCGGCAGGCUGAGCCUGGCAGCUCGGUGCUACUGGCUCGCUCGCACCGGCACUGCGCUUGGUUGGCACCUGGAGUGGGUAAUAUCCCCACAUUUCUGCUGGGUCUUAUUCUGCAUGAGCAGGAAUGUUGAUGCACAAUGCCCAUGCUCUGAGUUCUGCUAUUCUCUGGCACACGGUACAGCUCAAAAAGUAGUGAUGGAAAUGCACGAUCAGACAAUGGCAACAGCAGCGUGGUCACGUUCCUAUUGCAUCCGCUGCUUUGCUGCUGCUUUUCCUUGGGCUUUGGAAUGAGCAGCACUAUGUGCACAUAGGAUGGGCAUUGCGGGUGCCACGAGGCCUCAUUGCCACGAGGCCCCCUUCCCUAUCCCGAUCCUCAGCCCCACAAUGAAUUCACAUCACCUACGGAGCUUUGGACCAACAGGUAAUAAACUCCAAUAAAGCAUGCUUUUUAUCAGGGAGAAAAAAAAAUCCCAUUAAUUAUAGUUCAUGACUACUCUAAACCAAAUGUUCAAAUAGUAGUUGGAAAUGAUGCAUAAAAUCUCAGCAUGUUCUGAUAGGUUAUAGAGUCGGUGGUUUAUUGCAAUGUAAAACAAGCCACAGGAAGAGAGGGUGGUUUUGUUUACCAUUUUCAUCAAAGCUGUUCAUCAUGUUGAUAUACUUAUGCUAUGUUGUGACCCCUACGUAUGUUGCGUUUCAUGUGUUUAUUUUGCAG